Photinus pyralis (common eastern firefly) is the source of this 1572-nucleotide long non-coding RNA. RefSeq lists it as uncharacterized. The transcript is spliced from 2 exons. NCBI's taxonomy places the organism in Eukaryota, Metazoa, Arthropoda, Insecta, Coleoptera, Lampyridae. The record is from RefSeq and is a predicted model, not a curated record.
CCUGAAAAAGAACACUAAUACAAUCGGUCUCAUCUCAUGCACAGAGCAGUUUCAUUGCUCAAUUAUUGUUUCCUAUUAUGAUCUAGACUGAUGGUCAUUACAAGUUGAUCUUUGGCUUGAAAAAUAUAGCACUCAGUAGAAGGUUAACAUCUACUAUUUCCAUAGUUCUUAUUAAAAAUAAUUUCCUUUUUUUUGUAGAUUUGCAUUGAAUGACAAGUUACAUUUUUGCGGAUUUAAAAUCACAUCAAAACAUUGCUAGAACAAAGAUUCCCACAAUAGUGUUUUUUAGUGUAGGUAUAUUACAUUUUUACAUAUUUACAUUUUUAACAGCGUGCAAAAUCAAGCAAGUCUUAUUCAUAGAACCAUCACGGGUAGAGAUCAAGAAAGUAUCGCAAAUCCGUGUAUUAACCACUAUAGUUUUCAGAAAAAAAAAACGUAAUUACCAAUUCCAUUCUUCUGACGCAAAAAGAAUUCGAGGUGUUACCUAUGCGUCAGAUACCUUCAGGUAGACAAAGUAGUGAAAUUCCCCAGAAGCUAUUGGGGGGUUCAUCGACACGCAUUCAGACGAAUUGUAUCGAGUGUCGCAUAUUGCACCGCAUAGGGAGAGGUGAAAUCGUCUGCAAGGGAUUGUAUUGAUUAGGAAAUAGAUCGACUAAUAUUGGAAUAUGCAUUACGGUAGUCGACAACGGACAACGGAGUCUUUGUCUCAAGAGAUGAUGUAUGUAUACCUAGUAAAAACAUUUCCAGCUUAGUAAGUGUCUAUAUUAUCAAGAAUAAAGCGGUAUGGCCGGUAUUGAGACACCCAUUAUUUAAUAAUGAUAUUAAUUGCUCUAGUUGUUGUCAGGGACGGCCAAUUAUGACGCACGAUUUUCUAGGAUUCAGACUAGGGAAAUAUGACUUGGCGACCGAAAGUCAGAUGACCAAUUUUAGGUUGUCGUUUCACUUUAUGGCAGCUGUCUGUGGCCGCUGUAAACUACCCCAGAAAACACUUCUAUCACUAACAAUCUUCCAUAGCCAGACAACUAUAUAUGGCAUGCAUUGAUUUUGCUAUCAUCAUAUUUCUUAUCCUCCUUGAAAUUUAAGGGUAGUGUACCCCGACCACAGAGGGUUGCCAGAAGUGACUUUAUAUUCAGUAUCUAUAGAAGAUUUACUUUGUGAAUUUUCAUGGGCAUACGAUUAAUUGACCUUUUUUGAAAUUGUCGUGUACGACAAUGACUUAAUUUUGACGUAAUUCGCCAACUGAAAUGUCUUCUUCUCAAGAUGCCUGAAAUGACAGUCGCACGCUACAUUUUCAAAACCAGAUAGGUACUCUGAAAACAAAAUCAACAAAUAUUUCGCUGUAAAACAAAAAAAAACUAAUCCUGACCUGUUUCAGAGUUGGGAGAAAUCUGAAUCUCUAGCCGGGUUGCAGAAAAGGUUCGAAUAAACACAUGAUUGGGAAUGAUGAGAAUUUAUUUCGAAACACAUGAAAUAAAAAAUUAAAACAAAAUUCCUGAAAGGAAGAAAAGCUUGUGUGGAGAAAUCACCCCGCACGCAGAGUUCAACAAAUAAAAUAAGAAAAUCUUAAAAUUA